AUGAACGCUGGCGGCGUGCCUAAUACAUGCAAGUCGCGCGAACGGACGAGAAGCUUGCUUCUCUGAUGUUAGCGGCGGACGGGUGAGUAACACGUGGAUAACCUACCUAUAAGACUGGGAUAACUUCGGGAAACCGGAGCUAAUACCGGAUAAUAUUUUGAACCGCAUGGUUCAAAAGUGAAAGACGGUCUUGCUGUCACUUAUAGAUGGAUCCGCGCUGCAUUAGUUAGUUGGUAAGGUAACGGCUUACCAAGGCAACGAUGCAUAGCCGACCUGAGAGGGUGAUCGGCCACACUGGAACUGAGACACGGUCCAGACUCCUACGGGAGGCAGCAGUAGGGAAUCUUCCGCAAUGGGCGAAAGCCUGACGGAGCAACGCCGCGUGAGUGAUGAAGGUCUUCGGAUCGUAAAACUCUGUUAUUAGGGAAGAACAUAUGUGUAAGUAACUGUGCACAUCUUGACGGUACCUAAUCAGAAAGCCACGGCUAACUACGUG
Molecule: ribosomal RNA, 496 nt
Filed under: uncultured bacterium
Lineage: Bacteria
Description: partial 16S ribosomal RNA
Rfam family: Bacterial small subunit ribosomal RNA
Source: RNAcentral